Molecule: ribosomal RNA, 640 nt
Filed under: uncultured bacterium
Lineage: Bacteria
Description: bacterial SSU rRNA
Rfam family: Bacterial small subunit ribosomal RNA
Source: RNAcentral
CCGGAGCUUGCUCCACCGGAAAAAGAGGAGUGGCGAACGGGUGAGUAACACGUGGGUAACCUGCCCAUCAGAAGGGGAUAACACUUGGAAACAGGUGCUAAUACCGUAUAACAAUCAAAACCGCAUGGUUUUGAUUUGAAAGGCGCUUUCGGGUGUCGCUGAUGGAUGGACCCGCGGUGCAUUAGCUAGUUGGUGAGGUAACGGCUCACCAAGGCCACGAUGCAUAGCCGACCUGAGAGGGUGAUCGGCCACAUUGGGACUGAGACACGGCCCAAACUCCUACGGGAGGCAGCAGUAGGGAAUCUUCGGCAAUGGACGAAAGUCUGACCGAGCAACGCCGCGUGAGUGAAGAAGGUUUUCGGAUCGUAAAACUCUGUUGUUAGAGAAGAACAAGGAUGAGAGUAACUGUUCAUCCCUUGACGGUAUCUAACCAGAAAGCCACGGCUAACUACGUGCCAGCAGCCGCGGUAAUACGUAGGUGGCAAGCGUUGUCCGGAUUUAUUGGGCGUAAAGCGAGCGCAGGCGGUUUCUUAAGUCUGAUGUGAAAGCCCCCGGCUCAACCGGGGAGGGUCAUUGGAAACUGGGAGACUUGAGUGCAGAAGAGGAGAGUGGAAUUCCAUGUGUAGCGGUGAAAUGCGUA